Molecule: ribosomal RNA, 506 nt
Filed under: uncultured Glomeraceae
Lineage: Eukaryota; Fungi; Glomeromycota; Glomeromycetes; Glomerales; Glomeraceae
Description: SSU rRNA
Rfam family: Eukaryotic small subunit ribosomal RNA
Source: RNAcentral
AGCAGCCGCGGUAAUUCCAGCUCCAAUAGCGUAUAUUAAAGUUGCUGCAGUUAAAAAGCUCGUAGUUGAAUUUCGGGACUAAUAUGUCGGUCGUGCCUCGGUACGUACUGGCUUAUUGGUUUCUCCUUUCUGAAGAACCAUGAUGUCAUUUAUUUGGUGUCGUGGGGAAUCAGGACUGUUACUUUGAAAAAAUUAGAGUGUUUAAAGCAGGCUCACGCUUGAAUACAUUAGCGUGGAAUAAUGAAAUAGGACGUUUGAUUCUAUUUUGUUGGUUUCUAGGAUCGACGUAAUGAUUAAUAGGGAUAGUUGGGGGCAUUAGUAUUCAAUUGUCAGAGGUGAAAUUCUUGGAUUUAUUGAAGACUAACUACUGCGAAAGCAUUUGCCAAGGAUGUUUUCAUUAAUCAAGAACGAAAGUUAGGGGAUCGAAGACGAUCAGAUACCGUCGUAGUCUUAACCAUAAACUAUGCCGACUAGGGAUCGGAUGAUGUUAAUUUUUUAAUGACUCA